CCCCGAGCGCCGCUCGGGCUCCGCCGUGCUCGCUCCGAGCUCCCGGCUCCUGCAAAGCUAGCACCGCCGCCGUCUCCCUUCAGCCGCCAUCAUGAUUAUCUACUGGGACCUCAUCAGCCCUGAUGAGAUGUUCUCUGACAUUUACAAGAUCCAAGAGAUCGCGGACGGCCUAUGCUGGGAGGUGGAGGGAAAGAUGGUCAGUAGGACAGAGGGUAACAUUGAUGACUCGCUCAUUGGUGGAAAUGCUUCCGCUGAAGGACCUGAGGGCAAAGGUACCGAAAGCACAGUUAUCACUGGUGUUGAUAUUGUCAUGAACCAUCACUUGCAGGAAACCAGCUUCACCAAAGAAGCCUACAAGAAGUACAUCAAAGAUUACAUGAAGUCAAUCACAUCCUGGCUAAUUUCAAAAACUACCAGUUCUUUAUUGGUGAAAACAUGAAUCCAGAUGGCAUGGUUGCUCUCCUGGACUACCGUGAGGAUGGUGUGACCCCAUAUAUGAUUUUCUUUAAGGAUGGUUUAGAAAUGGAAAAAUGUUAACAAAUUUGGCAGUUACUUUGGAUCUAUCACCUGUCAUCAUAACUGGCUGCUGCUUGUCAUCCACACAACACCAGGACUUAAGACAAACGGGACUGAUGUCAUCUUGAACUCUUCAUUUAUUUUGACCAUGAUUUAUUUGGAGUGGAGGCAUUGUUUUUAAGGAAAAACAUGUCAUGUAGGUUGUUUAAAAAUAAAAUGCAUUUAAACUCAUUCGAGAGAAUGCCUUUUAGUUUAAUACACUUCUAAACUAAAUCCAUCCUAUAGUGUUCCUGCAGAAGCUAGAGACUGGUUGUAGUCCACUACUAGAAAGCAUAAAACUGUCAUCAGAUAAAUUCUACAGUGGAAACCACUCCUGAGACUGGAAUGUAAAGGAACCAAAAGUUUUAAUUCUGAGUUACAGUAAAGGAAGAGACCAUGCUCAUAGCAGUGCCAACACUUGAUGUGGAGCCUUAACACAUUUCAUCACCUACAACGGAAGUAGUGAUUGUGGAAGAAAUUACCAAGAGAAUAAAAAGAGACUAAUUCAGUUGGAA
Molecule: RNA transcript, 1070 nt
Organism: Nycticebus coucang (slow loris)
Lineage: Eukaryota; Metazoa; Chordata; Mammalia; Primates; Lorisidae
Gene name: translationally-controlled tumor protein-like
Exons: 1
Source: RefSeq, a predicted model, not a curated record